This 591-nucleotide ribosomal RNA is filed under the name Triticum aestivum (bread wheat). RNAcentral's name for it is "partial small subunit ribosomal RNA". Lineage: Eukaryota; Viridiplantae; Streptophyta; Magnoliopsida; Poales; Poaceae. The record is from RNAcentral.
AUGGAUCAUAAUGCUACUCAUCUUGGCCACCCUCUCAUUUUACUUACAAAAAAUAGAUUUGUGGCUUAUAAUGUUAUUAUUGACAAAAUUAAAGCCAAACUCAAUUGUUAUAAAGCUAACAGGUUAUCUCAUGCAAGGAGACCUACUCUUAUCAAAUUUGUGUUUGCCUCUCUUCCUGUAUAUUAUAUGUCUAAUAUCCUGUUAAGUAAGUCCACUAUUAAUAAGCUCACCUCUAUUAUCAGAAAGUUUUGGUGGACAGGUAUUGACAAAGAUAAUAAUUCUAAACCUAUUUGCUUCAAAGCUUGGGAUGAUAUUUGUAAACCUAUGCAUAAAGGUGGGCUGGGAAUUAGAGAUAUAAAUACUAUGAAUAAGUCCAUGGUUGCAAUGAUGGUUUGGAGAAUUAUUAAUAAUCCUGGUUCUUAUGUGACUAAAGUUCUCAAAGCCAAGUAUUUUCACAAUUCUUCUAUUUGGAGAGCUAAUGGUAAUAUUCCUAAAUAUUCCUUUUUGUCAGCUAAUGGUAACUCUUGUAUUUGGACUAAUCCUUGGUGCAAUAAUUGGGAAAGAGUUAUAAUCAUCUUACUCCAAAUUUAG